Molecule: long non-coding RNA, 317 nt
Filed under: Homo sapiens (human)
Lineage: Eukaryota; Metazoa; Chordata; Mammalia; Primates; Hominidae
Description: HSALNT0021929
Source: RNAcentral
AGGAGCUGUGGGUUCGGCUGACUUGACAAUGGGCCCGGGAAAUCCCAGUAUGGCUAUUAAUAUGCCCUCCUAUAAUUUGUAACAUUAACAUUGCUGAAGGUACAGAAAAGGACAUUGAAAUGAAGAUGUCAAAACUGCUGACUUAGUUUGCUUCCAAAGUGAAUCUCAGACUUCAGUAGCCAAAAAUAAACUGGUUCUUGGCUGAAACAUUUAAAAGGUCUUCUUUCAGCCCCUGUCAAGCAGGCCUAUUAGGAAGUGAGUAAAUUUAAUAAACACACAACUGCAGUAAGUAUGCAUCACCUAAUUUGCAUGUCUGU